Molecule: ribosomal RNA, 468 nt
Filed under: uncultured bacterium
Lineage: Bacteria
Description: partial 16S ribosomal RNA
Rfam family: Bacterial small subunit ribosomal RNA
Source: RNAcentral
GACGAACGCUGGCGGCGUGCUUAACACAUGCAAGUCGAACGGAAAGGCCCUGCUUUUGUGGGGUGCUCGAGUGGCGAACGGGUGAGUAACACGUGAGUAACCUGCCCUUGACUUUGGGAUAACUUCAGGAAACUGGGGCUAAUACCGGAUAGGAGCUCCCGCUGCAUGGUGGGGGUGGGAAAGUUUCGGCUGUCGGGGAUGGACUCGCGGCUUAUCAGCUUGUUGGUGGGGUAGUGGCUUACCAAGGCUGUGACGGGUAGCCGGCCUGAGAGGGUGACCGGCGACAUUGGGACUGAGAUAGGGCCCAGAGUCCUACGGGAGACAGCGGUGGGGAAUAUUGCACAGUGGGCGGGAGCCUGAUGCAGCGACGCCGCGUGCGGGAUGACGGCCUUCGGGUUGUGAACCGCUUUCGCCUAUGACGAAGCGUGAGUGACGGUAAUGGGUAAAGAAGCACCGGCUAACUACGUG